UGGUCAUUUAGAGGAAGUAAAAGUCGUAACAAGGUCUCCGUAGGUGAACCUGCGGAGGGAUCAUUA
RNAcentral lists this ribosomal RNA (66 nucleotides) under Alternaria sp. Its description in RNAcentral is "partial 18S ribosomal RNA". It matches the Rfam family "Eukaryotic small subunit ribosomal RNA", at positions 1766 to 1831 of the family's 1831-position model. The record is from RNAcentral. Lineage: Eukaryota; Fungi; Ascomycota; Dothideomycetes; Pleosporales; Pleosporaceae.